Molecule: long non-coding RNA, 538 nt
Organism: Cavia porcellus (domestic guinea pig)
Lineage: Eukaryota; Metazoa; Chordata; Mammalia; Rodentia; Caviidae
Exons: 3
Source: RefSeq, a predicted model, not a curated record
GACGUAACUUUUCCUUCGCCCAAAUCUCUCCGUUACCCGGGGCAACGGCUGAGCCGACUGGGGAGGGACGCUUCUGUUAGGCAGGACCCAGGAGGGGCAAUACAUGACCAGAUUCCCGUAUUACGGGAGUUAAUUCAUACUCAAGGCUACCCGUUUGUUUUCCUGGCCGUUAUUUUGCAGAGAAGACCUGGGUGGACAACAGAUUCGGGCUCCCAAAAUCCCUCUUCUGUCCGGAAGUUGCAUUUGGCACUUCCGAACAGGGUCGCGCAGAGGGAUGAGAAUAGUCUCCGCCGCCCGCGCCCCAGGUAGAGCCUGUUCUCGAGCGGAGCGGCAGCGCGAGGAGAACAUCCUAUGGGCAACAUGGCAGAUGUGAAACCAGUGUUCCGGGAGGUUCUUCCAAAACAAGGGCAAUUAUCGGUGGAAGCUGUAACCACAAUGGUGCUGUGUAAACCCAAACUUUUACCCUUAAAAUCUCUGACUCUGGAAAAACUGGAGAAAAUGCAGCAAGCAGCACAAGAGACCAUUCGCCAACAGAAAA